UACGUAGGGAGCAAGCGUUGUCCGGAUUUACUGGGUGUAAAGGGUGCGUAGGCGGCUUUGCAAGUCAGAAGUGAAAUCCAUGGGCUUAACCCAUGAACUGCUUUUGAAACUGCAGAGCUUGAGUGGGCGAGAGGUAAGCGGAAUUCCUAGUGUAGCGGUGAAAUGCGUAGAUAUUAGGAGGAACACCAGUGGCGAAGGCGGCUUACUGGACGGCAACUGACGCUGAGGCUCGAAAGCGUGGGGAGCAAACAGG
Molecule: ribosomal RNA, 253 nt
Filed under: uncultured bacterium
Lineage: Bacteria
Description: partial 16S ribosomal RNA
Rfam family: Bacterial small subunit ribosomal RNA
Source: RNAcentral